Molecule: long non-coding RNA, 361 nt
Organism: Herpailurus yagouaroundi (jaguarundi)
Lineage: Eukaryota; Metazoa; Chordata; Mammalia; Carnivora; Felidae
Exons: 3
Source: RefSeq, a predicted model, not a curated record
GGCGGGGCUGGCUAUUGGCCCGGUGAAUGGGCGUGACUAUGCAAACCGAGCGCGCGUUGGACGCUGGGUUGGGCUAGUGGGGCUUCCCUUAAGACCCCAACAGGAAGACGUCUACUUUACUAUACCCCAGCAGGACAGAGGAUGAUUUUCUCCUCACCCAGCAAUAGCCCAGCCAAUAAGACACUGCCACAACUCACCCAAUGAGAAACUCACUACCUUGACUUUCCUCCGAUGGACUUUCCUUCAAAGCAGCCCCUCCCAACUUCCUCUCUUUUCUCUAGGAGGUCUGCUGCGGUCUGAGAGGAGACACCCCCCGCUCUAGUCCUGCAUGACCCUGGAUGUGACACAGGCUGUCUCUGGC